GGCUUCGACGAAUUGGAGGAUUAGGAGAGAGAUUCUCCGUUAUAAAAAACUAUAGGACAACUCACACUCUAAAAUAGACAUGACUACUCUAUUAUCAGGUAACAUCGAGGAUUAAACUAAUGAUACUCACGUCGUCUCUACAUCUAUUACCCUUCUCCCUAUUCUCGCUACCAGACACGCACCCUAGCCGCCGCCGUUCUUUCCUCUUGCUGCGCAACCCUAACCGCGGCACCCUAGGUGCCUCACUCAAAUCCCAGAGAUGGAUUGAACUGCUCCGGUCGUCGCUGUUGCAGAAGCUGUUGAUGCUACUCGUGCUGCGGUUGUUGCAGCUGCGGAGGCCAGAUGUGCGGCGUUGGUUGCUGAGAAGGAGGCACGUGCGGCUGUUGAAUCUGCCACUAUUGCAGCCGAUAAGGUUCAACUUGUCGUCUCUGCUGUGAAGUAUAGAAGAUUUGUUGAAGAUGACUCCAUGGUGGAAUCAUUGGAACAUGUUGAUUUGAAGUAUCACGUUAGCAUCAAGAACUUACUCCGAUAUGUCAUUCAAGAGAUGAGGAGGCAAUCUUCACUUUUACAUACCAUUAAUAGGCUGUGUUGUAGCAUCCCAGGAGUUGAAGGGGGUAAGGUUGUAAAACUUGCUGGCCAUUUGAAGGAAGUGUGAAAGAGUCUCGAGAAGACUUCAAAUGUGUGUGAAGAAGAUCUGGACAACAAAUGUCCUGGUUGGGACCUUGAUCAUCCCCUUCAGAUGUUGAAGACCACUCUAACCCUUCUCAUGUUGAGGACCAAGUGGAUGGAUAUGUGUCAGAAGAUCCGGAGCUGUGGGAAAUGGUUUUUUAAGACAUGAAGUGGGAGGAGAACAAAGUGGUUGUCUCUUUGUUCGAGCAUUGUCGUAUUAUGGGCUACGACUACGACCAGAUUUAUGAUCGUACUGUUUAAGUUGCCAAGACUACUAGUAUGUUUCUUCUGUGGUUCUAUCUUUUGUGGUCAUGAGAUGAACUUGUAACCAGUUUGUGUCAUGAGAUGAACUUCUAACCAGAUAUGAAGACUUUUGUGAUGUCAAGACUAUGUACUUGUAACAUCUCUCUGUGAUGUGGUUGUGUUUAUGUAAGACUAUCUAUGUAUUCAAGACUAUCUAUGUAGUUAGUUGUUUUCAGUUAAUGUAUCAAUGUGUUCAGUUAAUGUAUCAGUGCGUUAUGGUAA
Molecule: long non-coding RNA, 1194 nt
Organism: Zea mays
Lineage: Eukaryota; Viridiplantae; Streptophyta; Magnoliopsida; Poales; Poaceae
Exons: 2
Source: RefSeq, a predicted model, not a curated record